Molecule: small RNA, 595 nt
Filed under: Pan troglodytes (chimpanzee)
Lineage: Eukaryota; Metazoa; Chordata; Mammalia; Primates; Hominidae
Description: processed transcript
Source: RNAcentral
UCCACCUCCCAGAUUCCCUGGUUACUAUCUCUAAGCACUGAAGUCGGUGUUUGGAGAAAGGGACUCAGAUGACCUGUUGCAGCUAUUAAUGUCAUGUCCCCAAGUUGAAUUAAUUCAGUGUCUCACUAAAGAGUUGAAUGAGAAACAACCAUCUUUAUCUUUUGGUCUUGCUAUACUUCAUCUGUUCUCUGUAGACAUGAAAAAAGUUGGCAUUAAGCUACUUCAAGAAAUCAAUAAAGGUGGGAUAGAUGCAGUAGAAAGUCUUAUGAUAAAUGAUUCCUUUUGCUCCAUAGAAAAGUGGCAAGAAGUGGCAAAUAUAUGUUCACAGAAUGGCUUUGACAAAUUAUCUAAUGACAUCACGUCUAUUCUUCGAUCUCAGGCUGCAGUUACAGAAAUUUCUGAAGAGGAUGACGCAGUCAACCUAAUGGAACAUGUGUUUUGGUAGUUCUAUAUCUUAACCAGCUGAGGGAGCUUGUACAACACCUUAUGUAUGCUGGUUGGGCAAACUGAUUUUAACGUAACUAACUUAUAAAUAAAUCUAGAGUAAGAAGAUCUCAGAAAUAAAUCACACUUUUGUUAUGAUGACAUUUAGAUU